GCUGGUUUAUACUACGGGUGCAUUUGUAAAUACAAUCUGGAGUGUCAGAGUGCAACCUGGGCGUUCGUAAAAUUCAGAGCGUUUCGCUCUCGGAGCGUUCAUACUGGACGCUCUGGCUGUGGAGUAGGGUUGAUCCGAGCCUUCUGACCUAACAACAGCAGUCAAGCUCCCAAGCUAACUGGCUAACAUGGUCUAGCUUGCCAGCUACAGUACUUCCAGACAUAUGAGAGAACAGCUCACUCACCCUAGCAGAGCUGAGUGGGCGUGCAGCAGGCAAACCCAGUGAUGUUACUGGUCCCUCAUCUACAGUUGUGACACAAACACUCCAACAUGCAUUUAAAAAGGCAGGCUGCUUAUGCACCUACAUCAAAAAAUGCUCAAGACCUCACUGCAGCCCUUUCAUAUUACAUUGCAAAGGACAUGAUGCCAUUUCAUAUUGUUGAGAAGCAUGGCGUUUUGAGGCUGAUGAAGGUUGCCGUGCCUCACUACAAAGUGAGUGCUGAUCAUUUUGUGUUGUUAGUUUAUGUGGUUGUGUUCAUUUAAACCUGCACAAGGGAAACGUUUACCUCUCAUGGCCAGAUGGUGCCAUCUUUAAUGUUAAUUCCAUUAUUUUUAUGUUUAUGCAUACAAAAAGUGCAUAGUAAUGCUAAUUUUAUUUGUUGUUUGUUGGUUUUCAAUAUAAAACUUGGUGAAAUGA
This is a long non-coding RNA of Oncorhynchus kisutch (coho salmon), 697 nucleotides long. RefSeq lists it as uncharacterized. Lineage: Eukaryota; Metazoa; Chordata; Actinopteri; Salmoniformes; Salmonidae. The transcript is spliced from 2 exons. The record is from RefSeq and is a predicted model, not a curated record.